RNAcentral lists this long non-coding RNA (312 nucleotides) under Vombatus ursinus (common wombat). Its description in RNAcentral is "lncRNA (ENSVURG00010004725.1)". Lineage: Eukaryota; Metazoa; Chordata; Mammalia; Diprotodontia; Vombatidae. The record is from RNAcentral.
UGUGAAACACUUCUUUGGGGCCUCAUAAACAACCACAGAACCACAAGUUGGGUACGGUGGCAGUCACACAAGACUGGGUCCGGGAUAUUGGUCAGCAGGCAGGGCAAAUCACACUGUCUGCAAACCACAGAGUUUCGUAGAGCGGUGAAAGAGAUCAUAUAGUCACCCAACUUUAAGAAAAGACUACAUAGGAAGGAGAAAACCAUGGCUUCGGACAGCAUGUUUGAGUCAUUUCCUUCAUACUCACAGUGCUUCAUGAGAGAGACAACCAGAUCCAGGGAUUUGGGCAGGGAUACAAAGUGAAGAUGGAAC